AUUGAACGCUGGCGGCAUGCCUUACACAUGCAAGUCGAACGGUAACAGGUCUUCGGAUGCUGACGAGUGGCGAACGGGUGAGUAAUACAUCGGAACGUGCCUAGCAGUGGGGGAUAACUACUCGAAAGAGUGGCUAAUACCGCAUGAGAUCUACGGAUGAAAGCAGGGGAUCGCAAGACCUUGUGCUACUAGCGCGGCCGAUGGCAGAUUAGGUAGUUGGUGGGAUAAAAGCUUACCAAGCCGACGAUCUGUAGCUGGUCUGAGAGGACGAUCAGCCACACUGGGACUGAGACACGGCCCAGACUCCUACGGGAGGCAGCAGUGGGGAAUUUUGGACAAUGGGCGCAAGCCUGAUCCAGCAAUGCCGCGUGCAGGAUGAAGGCCUUCGGGUUGUAAACUGCUUUUGUACGGAACGAAAAGCCCUGGGUUAAUACCCUGGGGUCAUGACGGUACCGUAAGAAUAAGCACCGGCUAACUACGUGCCAGCCGCCGCAGUAA
This 498-nucleotide ribosomal RNA is filed under the name uncultured bacterium. RNAcentral's name for it is "partial 16S ribosomal RNA". It matches the Rfam family "Bacterial small subunit ribosomal RNA", at positions 30 to 523 of the family's 1533-position model. The record is from RNAcentral.